GUAGGUGGCAAGCGUUGUCCAGAAUUAUUGGGCGUAAAGCGCGCGCAGGCGGUUCUUUAAGUCUGAUGUGAAAGCCCACGGCUCAACCGUGGGGGGUCAUUGGAAACUGGAGAACUUGAGUACAGAAGAGGAAAGCGGAAUUCCACGUGUAGCGGUGAAAUGCGUAGAGAUGUGGAGGAACACCAGUGGCGAAGGCGGCUUUCUGGUCUGUAACUGACGCUGAGGCGCGAAAGCGUGGGGAGCAAACAGGGAUUAGAUACCCUGGUAGUCCACGCCGUAAACGAUGAGUGCUAAGUGUUAGGGGGUUUCCGCCCCCUUAGUGCUGCAGCUAACGCAUUAAGCACUCCGCCUGGGGAGUACGGCCGCAAGGCUG
This 373-nucleotide ribosomal RNA is filed under the name uncultured organism. Its description in RNAcentral is "partial 16S ribosomal RNA". It matches the Rfam family "Bacterial small subunit ribosomal RNA", at positions 527 to 896 of the family's 1533-position model. The record is from RNAcentral.